GGAAGAACAAAGGGGUUGUAAAGCAGUAGUGAAGAACUAAAGAAAGGCAAAGGAGCUGAGAGGUAUGAACGAAGGACCAUGUUUAUGGGAGAAUCAACCUGAACUAAAGAAGAAUGAAUGUUCAGAAAAGUGAGAACAUCCUAAUCUAGCAUCAGAUUCUGUGGAUGAACUUACAGAAGAAUGGCAAACUACCUGCCCAACUGAAGUAGAGUAAGAACUCUACAUCAAAACUCAAAAAGCUUGACGCAUCUUUGCAUAAUUCCUAAAGGAAGGCAGAUACGAUUCAUUUUACUCAACACUGCUGGGUUUUCUUGGGGCACCUAGGUGGCUCGGUUGGUUAAGCAUCUGCCUUUGGAUCAAGUCAUGAUCUUAGGAUCCUAGGAUAAAGCUCUGCAUCAAGCUACCUGUUCAGCAGGGAGUCUGCUUCUCCCCAUCCCUUUCCCUCUGUUGCUCUCCCCCCACCACUUGUGCUUUCUC
This is a long non-coding RNA of Canis lupus familiaris (dog), 477 nucleotides long. RefSeq lists it as uncharacterized. The transcript is spliced from 3 exons. Lineage: Eukaryota; Metazoa; Chordata; Mammalia; Carnivora; Canidae. The record is from RefSeq and is a predicted model, not a curated record.